This 253-nucleotide ribosomal RNA is filed under the name uncultured bacterium. Its description in RNAcentral is "partial 16S ribosomal RNA". It matches the Rfam family "Bacterial small subunit ribosomal RNA", at positions 524 to 776 of the family's 1533-position model. The record is from RNAcentral.
UACGAAGGGGGCUAGCGUUGUUCGGAAUUACUGGGCGUAAAGGGUUCGUAGGUGGCCAACUAAGUCAGACGUGAAAUCCCUCAGCUUAACUGGGGAACUGCGUCUGAUACUGGUUGGCUUGAGUGCAGGAGAGGAACGCGGAAUUCCAGGUGUAGCGGUGAAAUGCGUAGAUAUCUGGAGGAACACCGGUGGCGAAGGCGGCGUUCUGGACUGCAACUGACACUGAGGAACGAAAGCCAGGGUAGCAAACGGG